AAUGUUUGAUAAGACGACACUCAACUCCUUUUGGACGGUAAUUAAUCUGUUCCUGGUUUUGUUUCGUGUUUCGUACAUUUUAAAAAUAACCGAAAAAUCGAUAAAUCGACGGUGGCCGUGUAUUGAACAACGUCCAUCAUACGGGUAUUAUAGUCAGAAUGAUAAAUCUCGAUAAAUUUCAGAUUCUGAGCGGAGCGGGCCAAUACAGGUUCUAUAAUUAUGUUUA
Molecule: non-coding RNA, 226 nt
Organism: Cinara cedri
Lineage: Eukaryota; Metazoa; Arthropoda; Insecta; Hemiptera; Aphididae
Source: the annotation of a GenBank genome assembly